UAAGAUAGCUAUGUCAAAAGGGGUCC
This 26-nucleotide non-coding RNA is filed under the name Homo sapiens (human). Lineage: Eukaryota; Metazoa; Chordata; Mammalia; Primates; Hominidae. The record is from RNAcentral.